This is a non-coding RNA of Rattus norvegicus (Norway rat), 3566 nucleotides long. The record is from RefSeq and is a predicted model, not a curated record. Lineage: Eukaryota; Metazoa; Chordata; Mammalia; Rodentia; Muridae.
UUUAUGUAUGUGAGUACACUGUGGCUAUCUUCAGACACACCACAAGAGGACAUCGGAUCUCAUUACUGAUGGUUGUGAGCCACCAUGUGGUUGCUGGGAAUUGGACCUCUAGAAGAGCAGUCAGCGCUCUUAACCGCUGAGCCACUUCUCCAGCCCGAUGGGUGACUCCUAAUGUAGGUUCUAGGACUCGAAUUCAGAUCCUCUGCAAGAACAAUACAUACUUCUAGCCACUGAGCUAUCCCUCCAGCCCCAAACUUCAACUCUUUAAUGGCUCUUGAGUGGCAGUUUUUGUAAAUGUUACUCCCCUACCAGUUUUAUCUCUGGACAUUGAAAUUUGACCCUGAGAGUUUUUAAUAACCUUUAAUUAUAGCUAAUUAGUUUAAGUUUAAACUUUUGCCUCCUCGGUCUAGUUCCAUUCUAGAAUAAUCCUUGACAUUAGGACAAACUCAUUAGACCUCUGAAAAUUAUUUUCUUUCCCUUUUCAACCUAUAUUUUACCAAAAAUUCAUUUUGUAUGUUUAAUUUUUAUAUCUUGCUCUUACCUGAUGGCUCCUUUCUUAGCAUUACCAAAUUUAGACAGCAUUCUUUAAUAACACAAUUAUAUUAUAAAUGAAAACUCAAGCCAACUAUGGUGGCCCAAGCCUUUAAUCCCUGUACUCAGGAGGCAGAAGCAGGAGGAUCUCUGUGAGUUACAGGCCAGCCAGAGCUACACAUAAAAUCCUGUCUCAAAAAAAAAAUAUAUAUAUAUAUGUAUAUAUGUAUAUAUAUAUAUAUGUACAUAUAUAUAUAUAUUCUGUGAAUAUAUAUAUAUUUCUGUGAAAUCUCCUGUCCCUCUAGGCUUUAUCUUUUUAUUACAGGUGUUUUCUUUUUUUUCCAACUAUCUUUUUUUAAAGAUUUAUUUAUUAUAUAUAAGUACACUGUAGCUGUCUUCAGACACACCAGAAGAGGGCAUCAGAUCUCAUUACAGAUGGCUGUGAGCCACCAUGUGGUUGCUGGGAAUUAAACUCGGGACCUCUGGAAGAGCAGUCAGUGCUCUUAACCUCUGAGCCAUCUCUCCAGCCCAUAACAGUUGUUUUUGAUAGAAAUUUUUCUUCUGCUUGGAGAGGAAAAGGGAAGAAGCAGCAGGUUAGACCCUAUUGCUGAGGAUACCACAUGUUCAGGGUGGUGACCUCAAGUCAGAACUGAACUGGAAGCGCUCUCCCUCCCUGUUGGUUAGCUCAUUAAGGAGAUAAGACUUUUUUUUUUUUCAAUGCAUUUUGAUAUGUUUUAACUGACGUGUAAUAGUUGUUUUUAUUUUUGAGGCAUGUUUAGCAUUUUAUUUGGUUUUAUUUGGUUUGCUUUUGAAACAAACUCUCAUGUAGCCCAGGCUAGUCUCAAACACACAUUCUAGCAGAGAGAGGCUGCUGACUCUGAACUCCUCCAUCCCCCACCCCCAUGCCCCACCUCCCACCCCACUCCCCACCCCCGUGCAGAGUUGAAAGGCAUACAACACACUUGACAUAGAAAUCUUGUUUUUUUGUUAUGCCGUUUCUUGUAAUCACGCUGUUCUCACCCAAGAGAAGGAGACCAGGACGAGUUUUUUUAUGAAUUUGACAUUUUUUUUCUUUCUUUCUUUUUUUUUUUUCUUUUCUUUUUUUUCCGGAGCUGGGGAUCAAACCCAGGGCCUUACGCUUGCUAGGCAAGCACUCUACCACUGAGCUAAAUCCCCAACCCCCUGAAUUUGACAUUUUUAUUGAUCCACAGACCCGGCUGAGGAUUACACACUCCUGUGACUACAUGUUUAAAGAAGUGGCCCCUAGCUGAGUGAGCAGGGGCUUAUAAAGGUAGCAACCACAAGUUUGGUAGGUCCCGUUGACGUAGCUGUGAUGGCUGUUAGCAAGCAUGACGGGAUAUAAGAUUGAGACACAGCUGUGUAACCACGUUGUCCUAUCACUGAUCAGGAAGCCUUGAAGUUGCAGAAACAGCGAUCGUCUGAGUGAGUUAUGGAACCCGUAAAGGGCUGUACAUACCUGAGAGUCAGGCUGCCCUCAAAUUUAGUCUGAGGUCAGGUAGGAUUGAGCAAAUGGGUUUUUCUUAGUUUAUAUCCACAGCCCUUGAAAUUUUUACUUUUAUUUUUUUAAUUCACUUUACAUCCGGAUCACAGCCCACCCUCCCUCCUCUUCUUCUUCCUGUCCCACCCUUACAAGUCCCUCCCCCUAUUACCGCUUAGCCAUUGAAGUUUUGACUUCAAGGCUGAGAACUGAUAUCUUGGCAUAAUCCCCUGAUCGAUAGCUUCCUGCCCCCCCCCCAAAAAAAAGAAAAGAAAAAAGACUACACUUCCCAGCUACCUUUGCGGGCAAGCAACGUAACUCCCUUUCAGAGAGAGAGAGAGAGAGAGAGAGAGAGAGAGAGAGAGAGAGAGAGAGAGAGAGAGAGAGAGAGAGAGAGAGAGAGAGAGAGAUCCUCUCCUAUACAAAGUCACAGACAUCUUUUCCUGCAGGAGCUCUCUCAUCCGCCCACGAGGAUGGGACUAUGCCCCUUUGCCAUGACUAAGAGGGCUCCCGUCUCUUCAGGGACCCUUAGCCGGGAGCAGCAGCCUGGCUCUCCUAACGUCCCCACAGUCGGCCCCCAUGGAGACACGCAGAGCUCAGCCAAGGCGAGAUCGCCAGCUACAGAUGAAGGAAGAGCUGAAAAGCCAAGGUGAGGCUACGACAGUGGUCCAGCAGGACCAUCGCAAACCUAGUCACUCUCUGCACCUUCUCUGACUUCUCAUGGGCUGACCACAUUAAUUUUGGCUUCCCUUAUGAAUGCGAGCUGGCUUCCAGAAGUUCCAUGGUUAUAAUCUUCCUCCAAGAACAUCAGUAGCUUCGUGUAUUUUCCUUUGUUUCCCAACAAGAGCCAGACAGAUCUUUCAAAGAUGCAAAAUCACUCACGGAACUCUGAACUCCCAAGUACCCCUCUGUGAGUCGGUCCCUAAAUGCCCUAGGAAUGAAAUGCAAGCCCCACCCCCACACACACCCCAGUGCUUUCCAAACCAACAAUUCCUCCAGCGUGCUUUAGAAGUUCCCGCCGGCUGGUCUUUCCUCUCCUCCCUACCCUCCUGGCUUUUCUUGAGUUGGAAACUCAAGAUGGAGAGACGGAAUGUGUGACUUUGGGACAUCAGCAAAAAUGCCGCUGGUAGAUCACUGCGAUUGCCUCUGCGGCUAACAGAAGUGAGCUGCUCUGAGGCAGGAGACCGGACAGGAGGGAGCGGCGGGAGUGGGGAUGGGGGGCACCUAACAGAAACCCCCCAUACAGGUUCAGCGGCAGCUUUUGCAUGCUGGUAAGAAAGCCCAACAAAUGUGGGCAUGGCACCCUCUGGUGGAAAAAGAAGAGGACUGAGGGAACCCCGUGCAUCCUGACUCCCCUCACUGAAAUCCCGGAGGUCAAAAUUAAUAAUGGUCCCAGAAUUCUGAAACUUCCAGGCAACCAGAGUAAUUGUGUGAAAUGUAACGUGUUUCUUUUGUUAGUAGUCCCUGUGGGUUUUUUUUUUUAUUUACAUCUCUUCUUAUCCACUAAGAUCUGUAAAGAUAAAAUCCUCUCUUGUUC